RNAcentral lists this ribosomal RNA (468 nucleotides) under uncultured bacterium. RNAcentral's name for it is "partial 16S ribosomal RNA". It matches the Rfam family "Bacterial small subunit ribosomal RNA", at positions 28 to 507 of the family's 1533-position model. The record is from RNAcentral.
GACGAACGCUGGCGGCGUGCUUAACACAUGCAAGUCGAACGGAAAGGCCCUGCUUUUGUGGGGUGCUCGAGUGGCGAACGGGUGAGUAACACGUGAGUAACCUGCCCUUGACUUUGGGAUAACUCCAGGAAACUGGGGCUAAUACCGGAUAGGAGCUCUUGCUGCAUGGUGGGGGUUGGAAAGUUUCGGCGGUUGGGGCUGGACUCGCGGCUUAUCAGCUUGUUGGUGGGGUAGUGGCUUACCAAGGCUUUGACGGGUAGCCGGCCUGGGAGGGUGACCGGCCACAUUGGGACUGAGAUACGGCCCAGACUCCUACGGGAGGCAGCAGUGGGGAAUAUUGCACAAUGGGCGGAAGCCUGAUGCAGCAACGCCGCGUGCGGGAUGACGGCCUUCGGGUUGUAAACCGCUUUCGCCUGUGACGAAGCGUGAGUGACGGUAAUGGGUAAAGAAGCACCGGCUAACUACGUG